This 838-nucleotide ribosomal RNA is filed under the name uncultured bacterium. RNAcentral's name for it is "bacterial SSU rRNA". It matches the Rfam family "Bacterial small subunit ribosomal RNA", at positions 524 to 1381 of the family's 1533-position model. The record is from RNAcentral.
UACGAGGGAUGCAAGCGUUAUCCGGAAUUAUUGGGCGUAAAGCGUUUGUAGGCGGGCGAGUGUGUUUAAUGUUAAAUCUUAAAGCUCAACUUUGAAAUUGCGUUAAAAACUGCUUGUCUUGAGUAUGGUAGGGGUAAAGGGAAUUCCCAGUGUAGCGGUGAAAUGCGUAGAUAUUGGGAAGAACACUAAACAGCGAAGGCACUUUACUAGGAUAAUACUGACGCUGAGAAACGAAAGGUAAGGUAGCGAAACGGAUUAGAUACCCGUGUAGUCUUACCCGUAAACUAUGGACACUAAACGGUAAAUUUUUAAUUUACUGUUAAAGCUAACGCGUUAAGUGUCCCGCCUGGGGAGUAUGCUUGCAAAAGUGAAACUCAAAGGAAUUGACGGGGGCCCGCACAAGCGGUGGAGCAUGUGGUUUAAUUCGACGGUACACGAAGAACCUUACCAGGAUUUGACAUGCUAGAUAGUUGCUUGAAAGAGUAACGUGCCGUAAGGAAUCUAGACACAGGUGGUGCAUGGCUGUCGUCAGUUCGUGUUGUGAAAUGUUGGGUUAAGUCCCGCAACGAACGCAACCCUUGUCUUUAGUUAUUUUCUAAAGAGACUGCCUGUAAUAAACAGGAGGAAGGUAAGGAUGAGGUCAAGUCAUCAUGCCCCUUAUGUCCUGGGCUACACACGUGCUACAAUGGGAAAGACAAUGAGCUGCAAAUCUGUAAAUUUAAGCAAAUCUCUUAAACUUUCUCGUAGUUCGGAUUGUGGGCUGCAACUCGCCCACAUGAAGUUGGAAUCGCUAGUAAUCGCCAGUCAGCUAUAUGGCGGUGAAUCCGUUCCCGGGCCU